CAAUAGCGUAUAUUUAAGUUGUUGCAGUUAAAAAGCUCGUAGUUGGAUUUCGGAUGGGAUCUGCCGGUCCGUCUUUGAGAUGUGUACUGGUAGGUCCUAUCUUGUUGUCGGGGACCAGCUCCUGGGCUUCACUGUCCGGGACUGGGAGCCGACGAAGUUACUUUGAGUAAAUUAGAGUGUUCAAAGCAAGCCUACGCUCUGAAUAUAUUAGCAUGGAAUAACACGAUAGGACUCUGGCUUAUCUUGUUGGUCUGUGAGACCAGAGUAAUGAUUAAGAGGGACAGUCGGGGACAUUCGUAUUUCGUUGUCAGAGGUGAAAUUCUUGGAUUUACGGAAGACGAACAUCUGCGAAAGCAUUUGCCAAGGAUGUUUUCAUUGA
Molecule: ribosomal RNA, 379 nt
Filed under: uncultured eukaryote
Lineage: Eukaryota
Description: partial 18S ribosomal RNA
Rfam family: Eukaryotic small subunit ribosomal RNA
Source: RNAcentral